AUACAAAUCGUCUUAUCGCUGUUUGUUUACAAAUGGAGGAAAGUCCGGACACCAAAGGGUAGUAUAGCGGGUAACCCCCGUCCAUCGAAAGAUGAGGACCAGUGCAACAGAAAGAAUGUACAGAUCAUGCUGUAGUGAAACCAGGUAAACUCUAUGCGGUGCAAUGUCAAGUAUACCCACAGUUAAGUGCGACCCGUGCGUUGUGGGAGGGUAGGCAGCUAGAAUGAUUUAGCAAUAAAUCAUCCAGAUAAAUGAUAAGAAUUCUCUAGGUAGAAUACAGAAUCCGGCUUAUAGAUUUGUUAUUCAC
This 307-nucleotide RNase P RNA is filed under the name Dokdonia sp. RNAcentral's name for it is "RNase P RNA component class A". It matches the Rfam family "Bacterial RNase P class A". Rfam says of the family: Ribonuclease P (RNase P) is a ubiquitous endoribonuclease, found in archaea, bacteria and eukarya as well as chloroplasts and mitochondria. The record is from RNAcentral. Lineage: Bacteria; Pseudomonadati; Bacteroidota; Flavobacteriia; Flavobacteriales; Flavobacteriaceae. RNAcentral also lists the same sequence under 1 other name.